GACGAACGCUGGCGGCGUGCUUAACACAUGCAAGUCGAACGGAAAGGCCCUGCUUGCAGGGUACUCGAGUGGCGAACGGGUGAGUAACACGUGGGUGAUCUGCCCUGCACUUCGGGAUAAGCCUGGGAAACGGGGUCUAAUACCGGAUAGGAGCCAUUUUUAGUGUGAUGGUUGGAAAGUUUUUUCGGUGUAGGAUGAGCUCGCGGCCUAUCAGCUUGUUGGUGGGGUAAUGGCCUACCAAGGCGGCGACGGGUAGCCGGCCUGAGAGGGUGGACGGCCACAUUGGGACUGAGGUACGGCCCAGACUCCUACGGGUGGCAGCAGUGGGGAAUAUUGCACAAUGGGCGCAAGCCUGAUGCAGCGACGCCGCGUGGGGGAUGACGGCCUUCGGGUUGUAAACUCCUUUCGCUAGGGACGAAGCUUUUUGUGACGGUACCUAGAUAAGAAGCACCGGCUAACUACGUG
RNAcentral lists this ribosomal RNA (465 nucleotides) under uncultured bacterium. Its description in RNAcentral is "partial 16S ribosomal RNA". It matches the Rfam family "Bacterial small subunit ribosomal RNA", at positions 28 to 507 of the family's 1533-position model. The record is from RNAcentral.